CCUACGGGAGGCUGCAGUGAGGAAUAUUGGUCAAUGGCCGAGAGGCUGAACCAGCCAAGUCGCGUGAGGGAAGACGGCCCUACGGGUUGUAAACCUCUUUUGUCGGGGAGCAAAGCGAGUCACGUGUGACUCAUUGAGAGUACCCGAAGAAAAAGCAUCGGCUAACUCCGUGCCAGCAGCCGCGGUAAUACGGAGGAUGCGAGCGUUAUCCGGAUUUAAUGGGUUUAAAGGGUGCGCAGGCGGGGGUGCAAGUCAGCGGUCAAAGUUGGGGGGUCAACCCCGGAACUGCGUUGGAAACUGGGAGCCUUGAGUGCAGGAGAGGUAUGCGGAAUGCGUGGUGUAGCGGUGAAAUGCGUAGAUAUCACGAAGAACACC
RNAcentral lists this ribosomal RNA (375 nucleotides) under uncultured bacterium. Its description in RNAcentral is "partial 16S ribosomal RNA". It matches the Rfam family "Bacterial small subunit ribosomal RNA", at positions 338 to 710 of the family's 1533-position model. The record is from RNAcentral.